AUUGAACGCUGGCGGCAGGCUUAACACAUGCAAGUCGAGCGGGGGAAGGUAGCUUGCUACCGGACCUAGCGGCGGACGGGUGAGUAAUGCUUAGGAAUCUGCCUAUUAGUGGGGGACAACAUCUCGAAGGGGAUGCUAAUACCGCAUACGUCCUACGGGAGAAAGCAGGGGAUCUUCGGACCUUGCGCUAAUAGAUGAGCCUAAGUCGGAUUAGCUAGUUGGUGGGGUAAAGGCCUACCAAGGCGACGAUCUGUAGCGGGUCUGAGAGGAUGCACCGCAACAAUGGGACUUGGCCACGGCCCAGACUCCUACGGGGGGCAGCAGUGGGGAAUAUUGGACAAUGGAGGGAACCCAGACCCAGCCAUGCCGCGUGUGUGAAGAAGGCCUUAUGGUUAUAAAGCACUUUAAGCGAGGAGGAGGCUACUCUAGUUAAUACCUAGGGAUAGUGGACGUUACUCGCAGAAUAAGCACCGGCUAAAUCUGUGACAGCCGCCGCGGUAA
RNAcentral lists this ribosomal RNA (501 nucleotides) under uncultured bacterium. Its description in RNAcentral is "partial 16S ribosomal RNA". It matches the Rfam family "Bacterial small subunit ribosomal RNA", at positions 30 to 523 of the family's 1533-position model. The record is from RNAcentral.